UUUUAGAUUUUUAUAACAUAUAUAAGGAUAUAUAUGGAACUGUGUUAAGUAUAAAACUGAUUCUCAAAAUCAUAGUUUGAAAAGUUACUCCUUUUGUACUUCAAAAUCUAUUAUACGAUAGGGUGAUUUUACUAAAAGUGAUCUAAAAAAAAUGUAUCAAGUACCAAAAUUAGUUUUUAGCAUUUCAAAAUCAUUUUUUACGCUCCCAAAAGCAAUCCUAAUCAAGCCCUAAAUAUAUUCCACAAUGUGCUCAUUUGUUGAUUUAUGAAAUCGAGUGUAUCAAUAAACCGAAACCUAAAUUAUUAUUGUUGUUGCUAUUAAUAUUUUGUAUAAAUUCAAAAAAAAAAUUAUUAGAAAAGGAUAAGAAAUAUACAGAGAAGGAGUUUCAACUAAACAAAACGACAUUUAGAUAAGUUCAAAGAAAUCUCAUGUAGGCACUUGCCAAUAUUUUCAGGUGGACAAUUCCACCAAGUAUGACUAUCACAACUCAAAUCCAUAUUAAGAAGAAUUGGAAAAAAAAAAGAAUAAAAGUAAACCGACUACUCAAAAAAAAAUCAAACCACGACUGCAUAUGUUGAAACUUGAAAGACAAAAUUAAGAUAAUGAAUUAGAAAAGAGUAGGAGGCAUGGCCAGUUGCAAGGCACUGCGACGCAUCAUGGUCAUCGGGGUCUCCAUCUAUCCAUCCAAAUUUGACAUAAAUUUGUGAUAAUGAAUGUCCUUAUUCAAAGUUAAAUAAUCCAAAUGAUCUUCAAAUCCACCAAAUGCAAUCCUUUGGGGCCCCAUUGUUCACUGAAAAUCUCAUCCAAAAAGAAUCCCACGCCUUCUCUUUAGAUAAGAUCAUGUUACUUCAAUACGAGCUCUCUUUAAUACCCACUAAUUUCUACCGGUACAUGCAUAUACGAUUUGCCCAUGAUACUUUUUGCCCUCCAAGCAAUUUCUUUUUUUUCUUUUUAACACUGAUAUUUUAGCAUCACUAUAGUUUUCAUGACUCAUGAGACUUGAAAAUUUUUCUCUGCAAAAGAUAUAGGUGGAUGUAAAUUUCUUCCCAAAUAUUAUGAUUGUUACUGCUUCUUUUCUUUCUGCCAUUUUCUCCAAAAAAAAAAUUAAUUUAAUGGAUUAAUUCUUUUCUUUCUUCCAUUUUCUCAAAUAGUGCACGAGUCAAAAAUUUAGUUUAUAGGGUACGAUUUAAUAUAAGUGAUCACAAAUUCAACUCAUGAGAUAUUUUAAUUAAGUUUACCGGAAUAAAAAUUUAAAUAAUAAAAAUAAUUUAAAAAUUUUUUUAAUCAAGCGAGAGCGGUUGUGAGACUGUUUUCACUUACUUAAUGCUAACUGCGCUCUUAAUUAAAGUAAAAUAGAAUGCUUGUGCAAAUGGGUUACUUUUACCACUAUGAAUGAGUCAAUUAAAUAAAAAUUAUUCAAACUUUUUUUUUAAGAAUUUCAAACCAUUAAUAAGAUGAGUAAGAUAUUUUAUUUUAUUUUAUUUUUGUCCAAAAUAAAUCAUAUAAACGAGAUUUUUGUUAAAAAAUGACGUUAGUGUCUUUGAAAUCGACUUUUCAGAUUUUCUGCUUCACGUCCACAUGAUUACAUCAUGGGAGUGAAGUCAUUGUAUUCAGUGUAGGAUCAAAAAAACAUUUUUCAAGGUGCUGAUUGCAGACUACAGGUACUAAGGGCGCUACGUGGAUGGUAAGUACUUGGCCACGUCACAAUCCUUGAAUGCUUUACUGGUUUCUGCCCGUGAAGGUGGCUCUAACAAUUUAACAGCUCACGUACGGUUGAGCUCAUUUGAUAUGUCAAUAAUAUUUUUCGGAUGAAUAAUACUAUACAAUCAAUGUGUCAAAAAUAGUAUACAAUUUAUAAAAAAAGUUUAAAAAAUAUAUCUUGUAGUUUUUUUUUAGUUAUUUUAAUGGAUUAAUACUAUUUUUUGUGUGGAAAUACAUUUUUUUUGUAUUUCACGUAACAUAUAUUAUGGUCAUACUUAUCAAAUAUCGUACUAAUAAAUAUAGGACGAUCCAUUAAUAUAAUGGUGAUUACAUACCAAAUAAGCCUAUCAAAAUAUUUUUGAAUUUUUUGUUAUUGGUCAUUGUAAUUCAAUUUUAUUAGAAAAUAUGGAAAAGAUUAUUACAGUCUACCAAAUGUGAGAAUAAAAUAUAAUUAUAUUUACUCUUAACCCUAUUUUAUAUAUGUGUGCGUGCGCCACGCGUGUACGUGCAAGUGUUUGAAUUUUGGUCUCCUUCUAGACAUGUGUGCCCUAGUUGCAGAGAAUCAAGCAACUCAAACAAGCAAUUUUCUAAAGUAAUGAGUGACUCUACAAAUUUCUUUUAUCGUUUUUAUUUGGCAAUAAUAUUCAUUGGAUAACGCAAAGUAAGGUUAAGAAUCUCAAAGAUAAUACAAAAUAAGAUUUAUUCUAAUGAUUGUGCCCACCUGUAAUGCCAAAGUAAAAGAAGUUCUAAACCCAAUCCAUGAAAAAGAACUAAAGUACUUUUAUAUUCGCUCAUAUCAAAGUUUUUUUUUUUUUUUAAUUUUCUUUCUUUCUUUCUUUCGACAAUAUCAUGGUCGAAGAAACAAUUAAUUAUAUGUUUAUAUUCGUGUAACAAUGUAAUCGUAUUGAUGUAACGUUCUCAUGUAACUAUAUCGAUUAUGUUUGGUAUAAUGAUAAUUUUGGAUAAGGAAACUACUCAUUUGUUGGGUGAUAAGUUUUUUUUUUUUUUCCACAUGUAUAGUUAAGAGGUAUAAAUUCCUUCGUCUACUAUUCAAUUGGACAAUUUUUUUCAUCUAAUUAUUUAGAAGUAAAUUCAGUUUUUAUGGAGUUUAAAUAUUUAAGAUUUCACGUUACAUAUUUAUGAGAAAUUAUUUUUACACCACAUUUAUUUUGUUAUAUGUAAAUCUAAUUAUCUCAAAAUUUUGACAUGUUCUUUACAUCACUUUUGUUUUUAAAUUUAUAUCAACAAAUCACUUUAACACUAAAAAAUGACCACCUUAUCUCUAAGU
RNAcentral lists this long non-coding RNA (2989 nucleotides) under Citrus x clementina. RNAcentral describes it as "Citrus clementina (C. clementina) long non-coding RNA (CCLE_LNC005320)". Lineage: Eukaryota; Viridiplantae; Streptophyta; Magnoliopsida; Sapindales; Rutaceae. The record is from RNAcentral.